AGAUGGCAAGAAUCCGAUCAGCAAGCAGACCACCAAAUAGUUGGUAAUGUCCUAUGUUCUCCAGUCUUACCAUCGGUAGCUAACAGAUCACGGACCUAUAGAUGGUUGUCCAUCUCCAUACUAACAAAGAUCGACCAUCUGAAGAGAGGUAGGCUAAAAAUCCAAGCAUCCUAGCUUACAUCAACUGAUGUCCCAUCUCUAAUCAACUAUCUGAUCUAGGCCAGCAUCGUAGGGGCACGAGUAUAAAUCUCACUCAUGAUGAAGGACCAUCCACAUACAGUCUAUAUUUAGGACCCCUUACUCUACUCCCCAUAUCGAGUCCUUAUCAUCCUACUCCACAAGCAGUCGGGUUGGGGAAGAAAUAUGG
RNAcentral lists this long non-coding RNA (367 nucleotides) under Elaeis guineensis (African oil palm). RNAcentral's name for it is "long non-coding RNA (EGUI_LNC002500)". Lineage: Eukaryota; Viridiplantae; Streptophyta; Magnoliopsida; Arecales; Arecaceae. The record is from RNAcentral.